Molecule: transfer RNA, 76 nt
Filed under: Chthonomonas sp.
Lineage: Bacteria; Bacillati; Armatimonadota; Chthonomonadia; Chthonomonadales; Chthonomonadaceae
Description: tRNA-Asn
Rfam family: tRNA
About the family: Transfer RNA (tRNA) molecules are approximately 80 nucleotides in length. Their secondary structure includes four short double-helical elements and three loops (D, anti-codon, and T loops).
Source: RNAcentral
UGCCGCAUAGCUCAGUUGGUAGAGCAGCUGACUGUUAAUCAGCGGGUCACAGGUUCGAGUCCUGUUGCGGCAGCCA